This 618-nucleotide ribosomal RNA is filed under the name uncultured Alphaproteobacteria bacterium. RNAcentral describes it as "bacterial SSU rRNA". It matches the Rfam family "Bacterial small subunit ribosomal RNA", at positions 28 to 692 of the family's 1533-position model. Lineage: Bacteria; Pseudomonadati; Pseudomonadota; Alphaproteobacteria. The record is from RNAcentral.
AACGAACGCUGGCGGCAGGCCUAAUACAUGCAAGUCGAGCGCGCCCUUCGGGGUGAGCGGCGGACGGGUGAGUAACGCGUGGGAAUAUGCCCUUCUCUAAGGAAUAGCCUCUGGAAACGGAGAGUAAUACCUUAUACGCCCUUUGGGGGAAAGAUUUAUCGGAGAAGGAUUAGCCCGCGUUAGAUUAGGUAGUUGGUGGGGUAAUGGCCUACCAAGCCUACGAUCUAUAGCUGGUUUGAGAGGAUGAUCAGCCACACUGGGACUGAGACACGGCCCAGACUCCUACGGGAGGCAGCAGUAGGGAAUCUUAGACAAUGGGGGCAACCCUGAUCUAGCCAUGCCGCGUGUGUGAUGAAGGCCCUAGGGUCGUAAAGCACUUUCGCCAGAGAUGAUAAUGACAGUAUCUGGUAAAGAAACCCCGGCUAACUCCGCGCCUGCAGCCGCGGUAAUACGGAGGGGGUUAGCGUUGUUCGGAAUUACUGGGCGUAAAGCGCACGUAGGCGGAUUAGUAAGUUAGAGGUGAAAUCCCAGGGCUCAACCCUGGAACUGCCAUUAAUACUGCUAGUCUUGAGUUCGAGAGAGGUAAGUGGAAUUCCGAGUGUAGAGGUAAAAUUCGUA